GCCCCAGGCUGGAUCCCAGUGAGCUGGGAUACACGGCUGGGAUCAGCACCAGGAGCAAUCCCAGGGCCCAGCAGGGAUCACAGCACCAACAGCAAGAGGCGGUUCCCCCAUGCAGAGCUCAGACCCCAAUUCUCUCCCAAAUCAGAUAAAAUAAAAAGGUGAAGACAUGUGAGGAGAACAACAUGGAAACACCAAGGUCACUGGAGAGGGAGGAGGAAGAGGAGAUACUCCAGGCCUCAGAGCUGAAAUUCUUUUGCAAACUGUGGUGAAGGCUGUAGUACACCAGACUGUUUCUCUGUAAUUCAUAAAGUUUGUAGGAGAAUUCAGCGUUCACCCACAGCCCGUGAGAACUGGAAAAUGUAGAUGCUAAAAAAACUGUGAUCUGACUUAGAACCUCUGCUUUCAGAGGUAGAACAGGACUCUGCUUCUAUGUUAGAACAGCUCAUCCUUAAGAAUUGUACCCCUUAAUCCAAAAUGGCCAUGAAUGGUAGUUGUGGAAAGACUUCCAGAGCAUGGGAGGAAUCCCACAUGCAAGCAGGUGCCAGGUGGGCUGUUUAGCCAUGAAAUUAAAGCAAUGAGAAACUGUUCCCUGGGGCAUGGCAGAAGAGACUCCUCUCCCUAAGUGAACUGAAGAAAGACUUAUUUUUAGAAGUGGUAGAAUGACUCAAUUCCCAGGUGUUGUCUCUUUACAUUGUUGGUGGGAAAGAAAGAGGGGCUGGGGGGAGGAAAGGUGUUGUAAGGUUUAUUUUAGUUCUUAUCAUUCUUCUUUUAAUUAUUUUAAUAAAAUGUUCUUUUUUUUUUAA
Molecule: long non-coding RNA, 803 nt
Organism: Passer domesticus (house sparrow)
Lineage: Eukaryota; Metazoa; Chordata; Aves; Passeriformes; Passeridae
Exons: 2
Source: RefSeq, a predicted model, not a curated record